RNAcentral lists this ribosomal RNA (449 nucleotides) under uncultured organism. Its description in RNAcentral is "partial 16S ribosomal RNA". It matches the Rfam family "Bacterial small subunit ribosomal RNA", at positions 331 to 797 of the family's 1533-position model. The record is from RNAcentral.
GUACACUCCUGCGGGAGGCAGCAGUGGGGAAUAUUGGACAAUGGGCGCAAGCCUGAUCCAGCCAUGCCGCGUGAGUGAUGAAGGCCCUAGGGUUGUAAAGCUCUUUCACCGGUGAAGAUAAUGACGGUAACCGGAGAAGAAGCCCCGGCUAACUUCGUGCCAGCAGCCGCGGUAAUACGAAGGGGGCUAGCGUUGUUCGGAUUUACUGGGCGUAAAGCGCACGUAGGCGGACUAUUAAGUCAGGGGUGAAAUCCCGGGGCUCAACCCCGGAACUGCCUUUGAUACUGGUAGUCUUGAGUUCGAGAGAGGUGAGUGGAAUUCCGAGUGUAGAGGUGAAAUUCGUAGAUAUUCGGAGGAACACCAGUGGCGAAGGCGGCUCACUGGCUCGAUACUGACGCUGAGGUGCGAAAGCGUGGGGAGCAAACAGGAUUAGAUACCCGAGUAGUCCC